Molecule: non-coding RNA, 2563 nt
Organism: Lolium perenne
Lineage: Eukaryota; Viridiplantae; Streptophyta; Magnoliopsida; Poales; Poaceae
Source: RefSeq, a predicted model, not a curated record
AUACGCACAUGUACCAGGCCAGCUCUCACGCCAGAACGCCCAUGUACGAGGCGAAAUCUCACGCAAGGAAAGCCCAGUCCUUACGUCUUUCUCUUUCCCCUCUCACGCGAGGAUGCACACGCCCGAGCUCUCCAUGGCGACGCCGUGCUCUCGCCUUCUCCCGGCCGCGCCCGGCCGUCUCCGGCACUGGUAAGGCGCGGUUCUGUUCGCCUCGAGGUGCUCCACAACUUCCCCCUCCUCGUUUUGAUCAUCUCGGUCUCAAUCACUCGCCCACGACCCCGAUUGAGUCGCCGUCUCUGCCACUACACCGGCCGAUCUUGGUCAACUCCGGCGCCGGCGAUAUGGUUUUCUGGCUCCCUUCGCCGUUCCCUACCUCUCGGCUCCGCUCGAUUCGAUUCUCGAGCCGUAUCUGGUCCGUCCCCAAAUCGAGAACCCUAGCUCGAUGUUGGCUCAAUUCGGCCGUCGCCGGCCGAUUCCGGCAGCGCCUCACCCCGGCGUGACGCCUCCAUGAACUCCACCUCCAAAAACUUCUGCCUCAACAUCGCCCUGCGCCGCCCUCGCGUGGCCCUGCCCUCGGCUAACCCUAGCCGUGGCUAGGUGGUUGACCGGCUCCCGCAUUUGUCCCUCUGGCUUUGCCUCUCGACGACGAGCUCGGCUUCCUCGUCAUCCUCCACGAUUUCUACGUGACGCUAGCAGGACGAUGCCGCGGACGCAACCCUGGCGCCACGGUCCGCUGCCCUGUGGCCUUUGCCAUUGCGGGUGCUGCUGUUGCUCGUGAUGGAGCUGCUGCUGUGAGCUGUGGUGCUCGACAUCGAUGGACGGCGCUGCAAGCGCAACCUCGGUGUCGAAUAGCUCGCCUACGCCAUGUAUUCCACUAUUGAUGCUUUGUUUGGUGGCUUGCUUAUGAGCUUAGAUAUAUACUUUAUUACUGUGCUGCAACUAUAGUACUACUUGGUUGGCCUGGGCUGAUUUCCUGGACCCUAAGUAGAUUCAUGUAGUAUGUUGGUUAUUAACUGUUGGCUUGUGGUGAUUAUGGUAUAGCUCUUAUCUGCUAAGACAUACACUAUUUUGUUAAUUGAAAGUGUUUAGUGGUACUGCUGUUUAAUCUUAAUUAAGCUCAAACAUGCUGGUGAUUUCAAUGCUGCUACUAUUAUUGUAUAAUUUCCUUGAUGGCUGCUUGGGAGCUGAUAAUUGGAGGUGGUAUCAUUUGUUGGUUGACUGGAACAUGGCUGGAAUAUCACUACUGCUUGUAUAAUACUGGGUUGGCCUGAGAUUAUUUCCUGGACCCUAUGUACAUCCUGGUGACAUGUUAAUUAGUUGUGGCUGUUUAUGGUGAUGACUCAAUCAAAUGCACAAAUGCUACUGGUCAAAUCCUUGCUUAACAAAUACAGUGAUGUCUCUAAUUGGAUAAUUAAUUAUCCAGGCAUUGUGGCUGGUUGUAUUUCUUUUACUGUUGAAACUGAACACACACUACAACAUGCACUAUUGAGUUGAGGUUUGGUUUGGGCCUUGACUAUGAUAUAAAUUGAUGCCCCAUUUAAUUCAUGGUUGAAUUUGAGAAAUGAAAUAGAAGUACUAUUGCUGGAUGAUUUACUUGGUGGAUUCUAGUGAGCUUAUGGUAUGCUUGUUAUGCUCUGAUUGAUGGGAAUACUUACUGGAUAAUGUGCAUACAUGACCAGACCUUGUGGUUAUGUGGAUGGCUUGCUUAUACUUAAGCUGAUGAUUUUGUAGCUUUGAUUUACUGUCUUUUCUUAUUCUGCAUAAGUGCUCAUGUGCUUCUUACCAACAUAUCUACCCUGUGGUGCCUCAAUGAGUGUGCACAGAGUAUGAAUCUGUUAGAGUGAGACCUGGUGCUGGUGCUGUUGUGCUUGUGUAAAAUAGGAAAUAGACAUUGAUCAUAGCUGUAUGAUUAGAUGAUGCCAAAUGUCCAUCCCAAGCUCUUAAUGAUGCUUGAGUUAAUUUGAAUGGACAGAUCGAUGCUUGCUUUAGCCGAUGAUGCAAAGGCUGAGGCAAAAACUUGGAUAAGAACAGAUAUUAAUAUUUGACUUAAAUUCUCUGUGAUGAGCUUGGCAUAGCACUACUAUGCAGAUCUGAGAGAAAUAAUUUCUCCUGAUCCUCCUAGACCAGAUCUAGUUGCAGGGUGGUUGGAUUUAUUUACUUGCAUGUUACCCUUUUAUUUUCCCUGAGAUGCAAAGACUAAGAACACAUGUUUUUAUUAAGUUGAUGGAUCAACCUGCUGUUUGUAGAGAUCUUGGCCUUCUGGACUGUUGAUUGAUUGCCUUCUUGUGGGAUUCCUGCUCCUCCUAGCUGCUUGAUCUGCUUCCCUAUGGCUCUAAAUAAUCCAUGGCUAUCUAUGGUUGUUCUUCAUGGUACUUAUGGAUGAAUAUGUGCUGCUAGUGAUUACUAGAGCAGACUUGCUGUUCUGAGUGAUGAGAACAUGGGUGAGUGAUGAGAACAUGGGUGAUGUGCUUGGAUGAACAGGGAUAUUUCCUGAGAUGAUCUGGUGGUCUAGAUAAAGAACAUAUGAUGUUCUUGGUGGUUCUUGGCUGGUUGAUCGGGUGUG